AUGGAUUGGAGGGAGUGCUCCGAAAUCAAAAUAUCUAAAAACAAUUAUAUGAAACGAACGAGAAUUUCGAUACGAUUAUUAUGACAUCGAAAAAAAUCUGAUCAGAAACAGUUUUUUGGGCAGCUAAAAAUCAGGCAGAAAAUCGAAUCGUCGUAAUUCGUUCACAAAAAGUCAAUUGAACACAAAAUACAGUUUAAUUUAGUUAUUGGAACAACCUUUUGGUUGUUUAAUGUUGAAACAAAAGUACUAGCGAUCUUAUCGAACAAUAGGACGUAAGCGUAAUUUCUUCAUUUUUCCCGACUUUGCUCGAAAAAAGAAAUUUCCUUUUUUUUUUUUUUGUCAAUUUUCAAUGGUGGAAUGAAGAUAAUUUCAUAUGGUUUUAAGUGUAGUUUUAUUUGGAAGUGUAAUUGAAAUAUUCAAAAGAUUAGGGGUUUAACUUGAUUUUCGGUACAAUUAUGAGUAACCGAAUGGAUUGGAGGGAGUGCUCCGAAAUCAAGAUAUCUAAAAACAAUUAUAUGAAACGAACCAGAAUUUCGAUACGAUUAUUAUGACAUCGAAAAAAAUCUGAUCGGAAACAGUUUUUUGUGCAGCUAAAAAUCAGGCCGAAAAGACGAAUCGUCGUAAUUCGUUCACAAAAAGUCAAUUGAACUCAAAAUACACUUUAAUUUAGUUAUUAGAACAACCUUUUGAUUGUUUAAUGUUGAAACAAAAGUACUAGCGAUCAAAUCGAACAAUAGGACGUAAGCGUAAUUUCUUCAUUUUUCCCGACUUUGGUCGAAAAAAGAAAUUUCUUUUUUUUUUUGUCAAUUUUCAAUGGUGGAAUGAAGAUAAUU
This is a long non-coding RNA of Diospyros lotus (date-plum), 833 nucleotides long. RefSeq lists it as uncharacterized. The transcript is spliced from 2 exons. NCBI's taxonomy places the organism in Eukaryota, Viridiplantae, Streptophyta, Magnoliopsida, Ericales, Ebenaceae. The record is from RefSeq and is a predicted model, not a curated record.